UGUAAAAAGUAGGCGCUUAUUUUUGAAUUUUCCCCAAUUUCAAGGACAAAAUGGAAGAGAGUCCUUCCUCCUCAUCUCGCCAUCUCUCUCACUCCGUCUCGCAUAGCCUUCCUUGCGAUUGCACCCAGCCAGCCUCCUCCUCAUCCUUCCUCCUUCUCCUUCUCGAAUCCUGGUUUACCUCCUGUGCACACCCACCCACCUCCUCUUUCUGGCAUGGUUGCUGUGAGCGAGACUUCGAUUCGCGAGACCGUGGAUAACAAUCUCCAGAGUCCCCUCCGCUGCUUCGUUUUCUGCAACAACAACAAAACCUCCAUAGUCGUAUUCGUUCAUUCCAACAACCCUAUCUCUAUGCUCUUCUAACUUCCAGCUCGCUCUCACCAUAUGGGCUCCACUUCCGCCAUCUCUCUCUGGUCUCAUCCCAAGAUUUUACUGCAGCCCCAAAGGUCCGGGAGUGCUUUUCUGGGCUAUCGUGGGUAGGGCGUGGUUUUACUUGCUAUCCUACCGCGAAGGAGGAGAUGCUUAGCGGUAAAAGCCGCUUCUAGGCCAUCCGGUGGUCGAAGAGUGUACAGAGAAUCGCAGAACGGAGGCUCAUUGUUUGUUGCUCCUGUCAAGCAGCUUGCUUCCUUCGUUGUUCCCGCCGCCUCCUUCUUGGCCGUCACUUUUGGUACUGCUUUUGCUUUCAAUUCCUUUUUGUUUUACCAUCUCUUAGGCAAAAAUUUAACUUGGUUGAAUGUUGGAUAGAAAUCAGGAAACUUUAACAUGGUUAAAAUGUGGUAGAAAUUGGAAAAUUUCAAUUUGGUUGAAUGUUGGAUAGAAAUUAGAAAACUUAACUUGGUUAAAAUGUGGGAUAGAAAUUGGAAAACUUUAAUUUGGUUGAAUGUUGGGUAGAAAUGGUAUUGGAUUUUGCAGUUUAUUCCGGCAUAUCAUACUGGUGUUAUUGUGAUCAUGUAUGAAGAUUUCUUGACUGAUAAAUGUGGAUGGGUUAAUUGGUAUCUUGUGGGAAAAUUUGUGAAGAAAUAUUUUUAUGCAUUGGAACUGUUUGAGAAAAUGUCUGAGAAAGGUAGUGAAGACAAAAUGGAAAUAUCUCACUAGAGAGACCUCUACAGUUUCGUGAGCACUAAUUAUAUCUGGAAUCCCUCUGGUUGCACAAUUAUUGUUGAGCUUUUAGUAAGUAAAUUUCAAGGAAUCUCUGCUACUUUUCACCAAUAUGCUACAAGUAUACCACCAAUUGCCGUUGCUAUUCCCUGGAAGCCAACCCCAAAUUAUAAAUACAAAUGGAAUGAGCUUUUCCCAAUUUAAAAAUGUGGAGUUUGAUCAUGUUGCGAAGGCAAUUGAGAAUGUGAGGGUCAGAUGGAUAGUACUACCAACUGCUUCAAUCUUAUUUCUCUUGGUUGAUGAAAAAUCUAAGAGACAAAGUGAAUGCACUAUGGGCACCUAUUUUGAUUUAGCAUGCUCUCUCGAAGGUCACCUAGAAAGCAAUUUUGGUGCCUUGGCUAUUGAUUUACAUGCUGAUUUCUAUCUUUGGUUCACUCGUAACCUUGAUAUUUGGCCUAUUUGGGAUCCGGGGGAUGCAUCAGAGAAAGCUGUCAAACUGAUAAGCUAUUUUUAGUACAUGGAGGUCAAGCGAAUGGCUGUUUUUGUGAAUCUAUUUUUCCAGAGGGAACUACCAUUAAAAGGUAUUGAUGUCGAACGGAGGGCAAUGAUUGCAGUUGAACUGAAAACAUGCCUUUUCACAAGUUCUCUGAAUUCAAGGAUUGAGGUCGAGCUUUAUGGGUAAGAGAAAUCGUUGAUGGAUAUCCAACUCAGAAAGAGGAAUCCACAUCAGGUGAACAGCAGUUGGAAUACCACAGGCAAGCAUUUUCAUGUACAGCCCAUCAAACCCUCCAAAAUCUUCAAAUAGCAUUUCAAAUUCCUGGUAUGAGAAUUUAAAAAUUAGAAACAUAAUUAAAAUAGCUAUUUGUUGCAUGCAUAAUCUGUUUAUCUUUCUUUAGCUACAUGCUUGCUUGAGAGUUAUCAGAUGAGGGGUUUUGUCUCGUAUUUGCAAUGCGCGUAUGUUGUAAGAUACACUUUUCGGAUUAAUAAUUGGAUUAAGGCAGAUUUCCAAUAUAUAAAUCAUGUGCCAAUUGCCAACUAUGACGACCUCUUAUCCUUUUGAACUUUCUCUCUACCUUAGCUGGCAAGCUAUGAACUUGAUGAUAUUAUCAUGAUGUCAAUCAAUUUAAUCAUUGAAUUACUGCUUUUAUUUCAAAUGGUAGCUACAAGCCAACCUUAUCUUCCAUGUACUUAAGCUUUCAAUUUGCAUUGAGAACUAUUAAAUGUAAUGAACUUUGGUAUUGCCUUUGUUCCCUUAAUCUGCAUAUUAUCUUUUUAUCCUAUGUCUUCUCUGCAACCUAUUGGAGUCUAAGUGAGAAAUGGCUCAAUUAUUACAUUUUAUCAAAUGGCAGCUCAUAUUUAGAACAAAGAGGGUGUGUGGUUUUGGUGUAUUGAUAUUUGUAUUGUAAUUAAACUUGUGGUUGUGUGGUUUUGGUGUAUUGAGAUAUGAGGAGUGAUGAAGGAGCUACACAAACUGUAGCGAGCUGCAUGAAGUAGUGAGAUACAUGAAGGAGCUAUAUGAAGGAGUGAUGAAGGAGCUACAUACAUUGUAUGUACAAAAGGGAAGAUGCUUUUAUCUACACAUCUUCGAAAGAAUUCAAGUUUGUAUUUUUGGAGUUCGAGGACAUGUGUUAAUAUGUUCAAACAUAUAUCUUAGGUUUGUAAUGAAUGUAUUGGCUUUACCACAUUGAUCU
This is a long non-coding RNA of Pyrus x bretschneideri (Chinese white pear), 2786 nucleotides long. RefSeq lists it as uncharacterized. The transcript is spliced from 2 exons. The record is from RefSeq and is a predicted model, not a curated record. Lineage: Eukaryota; Viridiplantae; Streptophyta; Magnoliopsida; Rosales; Rosaceae.